CAGUCGCCGCGGGAAUACGGAGGGUGCAAGCGUUAAUCGGAAUUACUGGGCGUAAAGCGCACGCAGGCGGUCUGACAAGUCAGAUGUGAAAUCCCCGGGCUUAACCUGGAAACUGCAUUUGAAACUGUCAGGCUGGAGUCUUGUAGAGGGGGGUAGAAUUCCAGGUGUAGCGGUGAAAUGCGUAGAGAUCUGGAGGAAUACCGGUGGCGAAGGCGGCCCCCUGGACAAAGACUGACGCUCAGGUGCGAAAGCGUGGGGAGCAAACAGGAUUAGAUACCCCAGUAGUCCCUGUCUCUUAUAA
RNAcentral lists this ribosomal RNA (301 nucleotides) under uncultured bacterium. Its description in RNAcentral is "partial 16S ribosomal RNA". It matches the Rfam family "Bacterial small subunit ribosomal RNA", at positions 509 to 809 of the family's 1533-position model. The record is from RNAcentral.